Molecule: unclassified non-coding RNA, 277 nt
Filed under: Trechispora sp.
Lineage: Eukaryota; Fungi; Basidiomycota; Agaricomycetes; Trechisporales; Hydnodontaceae
Description: partial internal transcribed spacer region
Rfam family: Eukaryotic small subunit ribosomal RNA (bases 1-46)
Source: RNAcentral
AAGUCGUAACAAGGUUUCCGUAGGUGAACCUGCGGAAGGAUCAUUAACGUAUCUCUGACGGUGAGGGCGCGCCCUGCUCCGGGAACCGAAAGGCCCCGUGCAGCGGGUGAGCCCGAGCCGCUCAACCCUUGCAAACCCACUGUGCACAUUUGUCGGCGGAGGGCCCAGUCAAUGGGCCCCGAGCCGGACCCACAAACUCCAAGCAUUAAAAGAAUGACUAGCGGACGUUGUGCCGUCUAAACUUUAACAACUUUCAACAACGGAUCUCUUGGCUCUC